Molecule: unclassified non-coding RNA, 21 nt
Filed under: Mus musculus (house mouse)
Lineage: Eukaryota; Metazoa; Chordata; Mammalia; Rodentia; Muridae
Description: oocyte_clustered_small_RNA4230
Source: RNAcentral
UGCCAUUCACCUUCAACUCCA